RNAcentral lists this ribosomal RNA (666 nucleotides) under Triticum aestivum (bread wheat). RNAcentral's name for it is "partial small subunit ribosomal RNA". Lineage: Eukaryota; Viridiplantae; Streptophyta; Magnoliopsida; Poales; Poaceae. The record is from RNAcentral.
AUGAUUCCAGGACCUGGAAUCAUACCAGCCGAUGGGUGGUGGUUUAUCGCUCGUUCAGCUGACGGCGGUCAUUUGAUGCUCAUUCGCACGUACCAAAUUGACCAAACCAUUACAUCAAACCACAUGCAGUACAAUGUCUGGGGCGUUCAUGACAUUGAUGGCUAUGGCUGCUUCGUGUUCGAGAAAGAUCCCAGCUCCGUUGGGCCAGGCUACCAUAUAACUGGAAUUAACCGAUGCAAGUCGAAGAAGGAUUGGCCGGUGCUGCCGGCUGGCGUCAAGUUCGAUCCCACAGAUCAGGAGCUGAUCGAGCACCUUGAGGCCAAAGUGAGUGCUGACAGCGCGAGAUCUCACCCUCUCAUCGAUUUGUUCAUACCAACCAUCAACAGCGAGCACGGCAUAUGCUACACCCAUCCUGAGAAACUUCCAGGUAUCACAUUGAGUGGCCUAAGCAAGCAUUUCUUACAGCGUAAUUCCAGGGCGUUCAAAAGGGGCACGUGGACGCGUCGCAAGGUACAGUCGGAGUGCGGCAUGCACGCGAUGUGGCACAACACCGGCAAUACCUUGCCGGCGAUGGUCAACGGCCGGCAGACGGGCAGCAAAAAGGUUCUGGUGCUGCACACCAACAAGAACUUCGACCAGCAGAGGACCAACUGGGUGAUGCACUAG